This 107-nucleotide small nuclear RNA is filed under the name Castor canadensis (American beaver). Lineage: Eukaryota; Metazoa; Chordata; Mammalia; Rodentia; Castoridae. The record is from RNAcentral.
GUGAUCAAUUCGGCAGCACAUACACUAAAAUCGGAACAAUACAGAGAAGAUUAGUAUGGCCCCUGCACAAGGAUGAUACGCAAAUUUGUGAAGAUAUUAAAAAAAAA